RNAcentral lists this unclassified non-coding RNA (375 nucleotides) under Hevea brasiliensis (rubber tree). The record is from RNAcentral. Lineage: Eukaryota; Viridiplantae; Streptophyta; Magnoliopsida; Malpighiales; Euphorbiaceae.
CCGCUAUACAGAUGCAUCAACAACCCAGCGCUUAAUCGAUAGAACAACAUAAUAGAGCGAGUAGGAUAAAGAUGCUAGCCUAAUAAAUACACUGGGCAAAGUUUUUUUCAUGAUUCAGAUCCCCCAGUGGACAUUUCAACCAUUGUGCAGGACAUCCAACACCUGAGUUCUCACCUAGAUCUAGUUGCUUUUCUCCACGUUAAGCGUUCCUGUAACAAAGCUGCACACUCAGUGGCGCAGAAAGCUCUUCAUGAUGUUUCUUUUGUGCUAAAUCCUGUAUACUAGCGUCAAUUUGUAUUGGGCAAUUUGCCCCGAUGAUAAUUUCGUUUAAUGGAAAACUCUAUCUUCAGACCAAAUAAAUAAAUAAAUAAAUAA